ACGAACGCUGGCGGCGUGCUUAACACAUGCAAGUCGAGCGGUAAGGCCCUUUCGGGGGUACACGAGCGGCGAACGGGUGAGUAACACGUGAGCAAUCUGCCCUUCACACAGGGAUAACUUCGGGAAACCGAAGCUAAUACCUGAUACGACCACUUCAGGCAUCUGAUGGUGGUGGAAAGUUCUGGCGGUGGAGGAUGAGCUCGCGGCCUAUCAGCUUGUUGGUGGGGUAAUGGCCUACCAAGGCAACGACGGGUAGCCGGCCUGAGAGGGUGACCGGCCACACUGGGACUGAGACACGGCCCAGACUCCUACGGGAGGCAGCAGUGGGGAAUAUUGGACAAUGGGCGAAAGCCUGAUCCAGCAACGCCGCGUGAGGGAUGAAUGCCUUCGGGUUGUAAACCUCUUUCAGCAGGGACGAAGCGCAAGUGACGGUACCUGCAGAAGAAGCACCGGCCAUCUACGU
RNAcentral lists this ribosomal RNA (463 nucleotides) under uncultured bacterium. RNAcentral's name for it is "bacterial SSU rRNA". It matches the Rfam family "Bacterial small subunit ribosomal RNA", at positions 29 to 506 of the family's 1533-position model. The record is from RNAcentral.